RNAcentral lists this non-coding RNA (31 nucleotides) under Mus musculus (house mouse). Lineage: Eukaryota; Metazoa; Chordata; Mammalia; Rodentia; Muridae. The record is from RNAcentral.
UGGAUGGAGGUCUAGGUUGCCUACUUUUGAU